GGGUUGUGAGGUUAAGCGACUAAGCGUACACGGUGGAUGCCCUGGCAGUCAGAGGCGAUGAAGGACGUGCUAAUCUGCGAUAAGCGUCGGUAAGGUGAUAUGAACCGUUAUAACCGGCGAUUUCCGAAUGGGGAAACCCAGUGUGAUUCGUCACACUAUCAUUAACUGAAUCCAUAGGUUAAUGAGGCGAACCGGGGGAACUGAAACAUCUAAGUACCCCGAGGAAAAGAAAUCAACCGAGAUUCCCCCAGUAGCGGCGAGCGAACGGGGAGCAGCCCAGAGCCUGAAUCAGUGUGUGUGUUAGUGGAAGCGUCUGGAAAGGCGCGCGAUACAGGGUGACAGCCCCGUACACAAAAAUGCACAUACUGUGAGCUCGAUGAGUAGGGCGGGACACGUGGUAUCCUGUCUGAAUAUGGGGGGACCAUCCUCCAAGGCUAAAUACUCCUGACUGACCGAUAGUGAACCAGUACCGUGAGGGAAAGGCGAAAAGAACCCCGGCGAGGGGAGUGAAAAAGAACCUGAAACCGUGUACGUACAAGCAGUGGGAGCCUCUUUUAUGGGGUGACUGCGUACCUUUUGUAUAAUGGGUCAGCGACUUAUAUUCUGUAGCAAGGUUAACCGAAUAGGGGAGCCGAAGGGAAACCGAGUCUUAACCGGGCGUUAAGUUGCAGGGUAUAGACCCGAAACCCGGUGAUCUAGCCAUGGGCAGGUUGAAGGUUGGGUAACACUAACUGGAGGACCGAACCGACUAAUGUUGAAAAAUUAGCGGAUGACUUGUGGCUGGGGGUGAAAGGCCAAUCAAACCGGGAGAUAGCUGGUUCUCCCCGAAAGCUAUUUAGGUAGCGCCUCGUGAAUUCAUCUCCGGGGGUAGAGCACUGUUUCGGCAAGGGGGUCAUCCCGACUUACCAACCCGAUGCAAACUGCGAAUACCGGAGAAUGUUAUCACGGGAGACACACGGCGGGUGCUAACGUCCGUCGUGAAGAGGGAAACAACCCAGACCGCCAGCUAAGGUCCCAAAGUCAUGGUUAAGUGGGAAACGAUGUGGGAAGGCCCAGACAGCCAGGAUGUUGGCUUAGAAGCAGCCAUCAUUUAAAGAAAGCGUAAUAGCUCACUGGUCGAGUCGGCCUGCGCGGAAGAUGUAACGGGGCUAAACCAUGCACCGAAGCUGCGGCAGCGACACUGUGUGUUGUUGGGUAGGGGAGCGUUCUGUAAGCCUGUGAAGGUGUACUGUGAGGUAUGCUGGAGGUAUCAGAAGUGCGAAUGCUGACAUAAGUAACGAUAAAGCGGGUGAAAAGCCCGCUCGCCGGAAGACCAAGGGUUCCUGUCCAACGUUAAUCGGGGCAGGGUGAGUCGACCCCUAAGGCGAGGCCGAAAGGCGUAGUCGAUGGGAAACAGGUUAAUAUUCCUGUACUUGGUGUUACUGCGAAGGGGGGACGGAGAAGGCUAUGUUGGCCGGGCGACGGUUGUCCCGGUUUAAGCGUGUAGGCUGGUUUUCCAGGCAAAUCCGGAAAAUCAAGGCUGAGGCGUGAUGACGAGGCACUACGGUGCUGAAGCAACAAAUGCCCUGCUUCCAGGAAAAGCCUCUAAGCAUCAGGUAACAUCAAAUCGUACCCCAAACCGACACAGGUGGUCAGGUAGAGAAUACCAAGGCGCUUGAGAGAACUCGGGUGAAGGAACUAGGCAAAAUGGUGCCGUAACUUCGGGAGAAGGCACGCUGAUAUGUAGGUGAAGUCCCUCGCGGAUGGAGCUGAAAUCAGUCGAAGAUACCAGCUGGCUGCAACUGUUUAUUAAAAACACAGCACUGUGCAAACACGAAAGUGGACGUAUACGGUGUGACGCCUGCCCGGUGCCGGAAGGUUAAUUGAUGGGGUCAGCGCAAGCGAAGCUCUUGAUCGAAGCCCCGGUAAACGGCGGCCGUAACUAUAACGGUCCUAAGGUAGCGAAAUUCCUUGUCGGGUAAGUUCCGACCUGCACGAAUGGCGUAAUGAUGGCCAGGCUGUCUCCACCCGAGACUCAGUGAAAUUGAACUCGCUGUGAAGAUGCAGUGUACCCGCGGCAAGACGGAAAGACCCCGUGAACCUUUACUAUAGCUUGACACUGAACAUUGAGCCUUGAUGUGUAGGAUAGGUGGGAGGCUUUGAAGUGUGGACGCCAGUCUGCAUGGAGCCGACCUUGAAAUACCACCCUUUAAUGUUUGAUGUUCUAACGUGGACCCGUGAUCCGGGUUGCGGACAGUGUCUGGUGGGUAGUUUGACUGGGGCGGUCUCCUCCUAAAGAGUAACGGAGGAGCACGAAGGUUGGCUAAUCCUGGUCGGACAUCAGGAGGUUAGUGCAAUGGCAUAAGCCAGCUUGACUGCGAGCGUGACGGCGCGAGCAGGUGCGAAAGCAGGUCAUAGUGAUCCGGUGGUUCUGAAUGGAAGGGCCAUCGCUCAACGGAUAAAAGGUACUCCGGGGAUAACAGGCUGAUACCGCCCAAGAGUUCAUAUCGACGGCGGUGUUUGGCACCUCGAUGUCGGCUCAUCACAUCCUGGGGCUGAAGUAGGUCCCAAGGGUAUGGCUGUUCGCCAUUUAAAGUGGUACGCGAGCUGGGUUUAGAACGUCGUGAGACAGUUCGGUCCCUAUCUGCCGUGGGCGCUGGAGAACUGAGGGGGGCUGCUCCUAGUACGAGAGGACCGGAGUGGACGCAUCACUGGUGUUCGGGUUGUCAUGCCAAUGGCACUGCCCGGUAGCUAAAUGCGGAAGAGAUAAGUGCUGAAAGCAUCUAAGCACGAAACUUGCCCCGAGAUGAGUUCUCCCUGACCCUUUAAGGGUCCUGAAGGAACGUUGAAGACGACGACGUUGAUAGGCCGGGUGUGUAAGCGCAGCGAUGCGUUGAGCUAACCGGUACUAAUGAACCGUGAGGCUUAACCUUACAACGCCGAAGGUGUUU
This 2930-nucleotide ribosomal RNA is filed under the name Escherichia coli. RNAcentral describes it as "bacterial LSU rRNA". It matches the Rfam family "Bacterial large subunit ribosomal RNA". The record is from RNAcentral. RNAcentral also lists the same sequence under 3 other names. Lineage: Bacteria; Pseudomonadati; Pseudomonadota; Gammaproteobacteria; Enterobacterales; Enterobacteriaceae.